UACGUAGGGUGCAAGCGUUGUCCGGAAUUAUUGGGCGUAAAGAGCUUGUAGGUGGCCUGUCGCGUCGGCUGUGAAAACUCGGGGCUCAACUCCGAGCUUGCAGUCGAUACGGGCAGGCUAGAGUUCGGCAGGGGAGACUGGAAUUCCUGGUGUAGCGGUGAAAUGCGCAGAUAUCAGGAGGAACACCGGUGGCGAAGGCGGGUCUCUGGGCCGAUAUUGACGCUGAUGCGCGAAAGCCAGGGGAGCGAACGGG
This 253-nucleotide ribosomal RNA is filed under the name uncultured bacterium. Its description in RNAcentral is "partial 16S ribosomal RNA". It matches the Rfam family "Bacterial small subunit ribosomal RNA", at positions 524 to 776 of the family's 1533-position model. The record is from RNAcentral.